This 74-nucleotide transfer RNA is filed under the name Malassezia sympodialis ATCC 42132. RNAcentral's name for it is "tRNA-Met (CAT) (tRNA-Met-CAT-1-1, tRNA-Met-CAT-1-2)". It matches the Rfam family "tRNA". From Rfam's summary of the family: Transfer RNA (tRNA) molecules are approximately 80 nucleotides in length. Their secondary structure includes four short double-helical elements and three loops (D, anti-codon, and T loops). The record is from RNAcentral. Lineage: Eukaryota; Fungi; Basidiomycota; Malasseziomycetes; Malasseziales; Malasseziaceae.
GUCUCGUUGGUGUAGUUGGUUAUCACGUCGGUCUCAUAAUCUGGAGGUCGCCAGUUCGAUCCUGGCACGGGACA